UCCCCAUUUUAGUUGAGUCCCCCUACCCCUUCACUCGAGUCUCCACUCGACGCAGACUGCGGCCAGACUCCCGAACCCUAGCCUCGCCGGAAUGAGCAGCCCCUCCGCCGCCGCAUCGUCGCCGGCGCCCGCGCUGGACGGCGGCGUCAUCCUCGAAGAGAUCCUCGAGGAGAUCCUCCUCCGCCUCCCUCCGCAGCCGUCCUCCCUUCCGCGCGCAUCCCUCGUGUGCACGCGCUGGCGCCGCAUCCUCUCCGACCCCGGCUUCCUCAGCCGCUUCCGCGAGCACCACGGCCGGAACAAGCCACCGCCGCUACUUGGCUUCUUCGACGAGGAAUUCCGCAGAGACAAGCGGCCCAUCUUCAAGCUCACGACGAUGGGCCGGUGGGACCGCAUCCCACCCGCGCGCUUCUCGGCGCCAUGGAUUCGCGGCGAGGGCUGGGCGUUUUUCGGCUGCCGACAUGGCCUGGCCCUCCUCAUCUGCCAGAAGCGCCGCGAGGCCGUCGUGUGGGACCCCCUCACCGGCCACCAGCGCCGCCUUGCGUUUCCACCAGGGUUCUGCAGGAAAAAGGGGAGGUUCGUCCAGAACGCGGCGGUGAUGUGCGCCGCCGCCGUCGAAGACGGGCAUGUGCACGGUGACUGCCGCUUCACCCCAUUUAGAUUGGCCUUGGUAGGCAGUGAUUCUGACGGCACACACAAGUUUGCUUGCCUCUAUGAGUCGGAGUCCGGUGUGUGGGGGGAUGUUGUCUCACUAGAGACCACACGUUCGACAUGUGUAUGUGUUGCAAAACCCAGCGUCCUGGUUAGAAAUUCAUUUUGCUGGCUGGUUUCUGGAGGUGGCAUCCUCGAGUUUGAUUUUGAAAUCCAGAGCCUUGUGGUGAUCCAGAAGCCAGCAGACGUUAAUGUAGCAGCCUACCACUGGUCCUUUCUCGUUGUACGGACACAGCACAGCGGUCUGGGCCUUGCUGUUUUUUCCGAGCCAGAUUAUCAGAGCGGUACCAUCCAAUUAUGGGAGAGAAAAUCUAACCGUGAUGGUGUUGUUGGAUGGGAACUGCAGAAAACCAUUCAGCUAGAUGGGCUCUUUUCAUUUGGACUGACCGGGGAGCCAAAUGCGUUUAUGAUGCAGGGGUAUGAUGAGGACAGCAAUGCGAUUUUGCUAUCAACGUUUUACGGUGAAUACAUGCUCCAGCUUGAGUCCAUGCAGUUUAUAAAUCUUAUUGAACACCAGAGCGCUUGCAUUUUUACAAGGACCUAUUAUCCGUACAGAAAUUUCUAUGUUAUAGGUAAACGAUGAUUGUCUACCUUGCACGCCUAGCAGUAGAUAUGGUUUCAUUUCCCCCAUUCCUACCUUUGUCGUCAUAAAGGGUAGUUUUGCCUUCUCAUCGGUUUACCUCUUCCAUGAAUGUUCUUUGGUUUAUUGGGUUUCUUUUGCUUGUAGGCAGCGGUGUUGGUGGUCGAGAUGGUGGAGCUGAAAUGUCAGUGCAUUAGAUGAUUGUCCCAUUAGGCUUGCACGUUGGAGAUUUCAGAUGCAAUGCAAGCUGAUUUCUGGAGGCAUCUUAUUGUUUUUUUUUUGACUUGGUGGCGGGCCACAUGUUUGAAUUAGUGACAUCUCGGUGAUGGUUAUUACAAACCUCGCAAUUUCAUUGUAUCUAAGCUGCAUUAGUACUGUACUAUUAUUGUAUAUUCUGUUCUUUGCUUUGUAGUGUCGAGAACGUAGACUGAAAUAUGCUUAGAUGCCCAUGGGUUAGUUAUUUAACUAGUAGGAACUCGAUGACUACAUGUCAGAUGGCUUCAAUUGUUAUGUCAUGUCCUAGCAAGUGUGUACUGUUUCAGUUGAGUAAUGAGUGGGACUGCCUAUCUCUUUCA
Aegilops tauschii subsp. strangulata is the source of this 1863-nucleotide RNA transcript. RefSeq lists it as uncharacterized. The record is from RefSeq and is a predicted model, not a curated record. NCBI's taxonomy places the organism in Eukaryota, Viridiplantae, Streptophyta, Magnoliopsida, Poales, Poaceae.